RNAcentral lists this ribosomal RNA (465 nucleotides) under uncultured bacterium. RNAcentral describes it as "partial 16S ribosomal RNA". It matches the Rfam family "Bacterial small subunit ribosomal RNA", at positions 338 to 795 of the family's 1533-position model. The record is from RNAcentral.
CCUACGGGAGGCAGCAGUGGGGAAUAUUGCGCAAUGGGCGAAAGCCUGACGCAGCGACGCCGCGUGAGGGAUGAAGGUCUUCGGAUCGUAAACCUCUGUCAGCAGGGAAGAACGGUCACUGUGCUAAUCAGCAGUGAAUUGACGGUACCUGCAAAGGAAGCACCGGCUAACUCCGUGCCAGCAGCCGCGGUAAUACGGAGGGUGCGAGCGUUAAUCGGAAUUACUGGGCGUAAAGCGCUCGUAGGCGGUAUGUCAAGUCAAGGGUGAAAUCCCCGCGCUCAACGUGGGAACUGCCUUUGAAACUGCCUUGCUGGAAUGCGGAUGCCGUGGGAGGAAUGUGUGGUGUAGCGGUGAAAUGCAUAGAUAUCACACAGAACACCGAUUGCGAAGGCAUCUCACGAAUCCGCGAUUGACGCUGAUGCACGAAAGCGUGGGUAUCAAACAGGAUUAGAUACCCCUGUAGUC